This is a long non-coding RNA of Gorilla gorilla gorilla (western lowland gorilla), 222 nucleotides long. RefSeq lists it as uncharacterized. The transcript is spliced from 3 exons. The record is from RefSeq and is a predicted model, not a curated record. Lineage: Eukaryota; Metazoa; Chordata; Mammalia; Primates; Hominidae.
GGUCAGGGUGUUUGGGGAUGUUGGUACAGAAGAAGAACAGUUAUGUCUGCCUCGAAUUUACCAGACAGAGCAGGAGGAACGUACUGAAUAUCAAGAAUACUUCAGAGGAUCCUGGAGCAGAGAUGGUACCUCCACAUAACACAGUGCACCUUGAUGAUAUUAGCAUCCACUGCCAAUAAGCAUAAAGAUUCAAACCAACAAGAUAGAAGAGGGAGCAGAAAU